CGGAACGGGUGAGUAACGCGUGAGUAACCUGCCUUACACAAGGGGAUAGCCUUUGGAAACGAAGAAUAAUACCCUAUAAAACUAUAAAAGCACAUGCUAGAAUGGUCAAAGUGCUAGCGGUGUAAGAUGGACUUGCGUCUGAUUAGCUAGUUGUGAGAUAAAAGCUCACCAAGGCAACGAUCAGUAGCCGGCUUGAGAGAGUGUACGGCCACAUUGGGACUGAGACACGGCCCAG
RNAcentral lists this ribosomal RNA (235 nucleotides) under uncultured Eubacteriales bacterium. RNAcentral's name for it is "uncultured Clostridiales bacterium partial 16S ribosomal RNA". It matches the Rfam family "Bacterial small subunit ribosomal RNA", at positions 100 to 334 of the family's 1533-position model. The record is from RNAcentral. Lineage: Bacteria; Bacillati; Bacillota; Clostridia; Eubacteriales.